ACGAACGCCGGCGGCGUGCUCAACACAUGCAAGUCGAACGGAAAGGCCCUGCUUUUGUGGGGUGCUCGAGUGGCGAACGGGUGAGUAACACGUGAGUAACCUGCCCUUGACUUUGGGAUAACUUCAGGAAACUGGGGCUAAUACCGGAUAGGAGCUCCUGCUGCAUGGUGGGGGUUGGAAAGUUUCGGCGGUUGGGGAUGGACUCGCGGCUUAUCAGCUUGUUGGUGGGGUAGUGGCUUACCAAGGCUUUGGCGGGUAGCCGGCCUGAGAGGGUGACCGGCCACAUUGGGACUGAGAUACGGCCCAGACUCCUACGGGAGGCAGCAGUGGGGAAUAUUGCACAAUGGGCGGAAGCCUGAUGCAGCAACGCCGCGUGCGGGAUGACGGCCUUCGGGUUGUAAACCGCUUUCGCCUGUGACGAAGCGUGAGUGACGGUAAUGGGUAAAGAAGCACCGGCUAACUACGUGCCAGCAGCCGCGGUGAUACGUAGGGUGCGAGCGUUGUCCGGAUUUAUUGGGCGUAAAGGGCUCGUAGGUGGUUGAUCGCGUCGGAAGUGUAAUCUUGGGGCUUAACCCUGAGCGUGCUUUCGAUACGGGUUGACUUGAGGAAGGUAGGGGAGAAUGGAAUUCCUGGUGGAGCGGUGGAAUGCGCAGAUAUCAGGGGGAACACCAGUGGCGAAGGCGGUUCUCUGGGCCUUUCCUGACGCUGAGGAGCGAAAGCGUGGGGAGCGAACAGGCUUAGAUACCCUGGUAGUCCACGCUGUAAACGGUGGGUACUAGGUGUGGGGUCCAUUCCACGGGUUCCGUGCCGUAGCUAACGCUUUAAGUACCCCGCCUGGGGAGUACGGCCGCAAGGCUAAAACUCAAAGGAAUUGACGGGGCCCCGCACAAGCGGCGGAGCAUGCGGAUUAAUUCGAUGCAACGCGUAGAACCUUACCUGGGUUUGACAUGGAUCGGGAGUGCUCAGAGAUGGGUGUGCCUCUUUUGGGGUCGGUUCACAGGUGGUGCAUGGCUGUCGUCAGCUCGUGUCGUGAGAUGUUGGGUUAAGUCCCGCAACGAGCGCAACCCUUGUUCACUGUUGCCAGCACGUUAUGGUGGGGACUCAGUGGAGACCGCCGGGGUCAACUCGGAGGAAGGUGGGGAUGACGUCAAGUCAUCAUGCCCCUUAUGUCCAGGGCUUCACGCAUGCUACAAUGGCUGGUACAGAGAGUGGCGAGCCUGUGAGGGUGAGCGAAUCUCGGAAAGCCGGUCUCAGUUCGGAUUGGGGUCUGCAACUCGACCUCAUGAAGUCGGAGUCGCUAGUAAUCGCAGAUCAGCAACGCUGCGGUGAAUACGUUCCCGGG
This 1342-nucleotide ribosomal RNA is filed under the name uncultured bacterium. RNAcentral's name for it is "16S ribosomal RNA". It matches the Rfam family "Bacterial small subunit ribosomal RNA", at positions 29 to 1378 of the family's 1533-position model. The record is from RNAcentral.